AAUUCACAGCCACAAAGAUGGUCCCUCUCAGUUACCUGCUGUGUGUGAUUAUGCUUUAUAUUCAGGGAUCCUAUGGACAGAUUGUGAUUACUCAGACUCCAGAGUCAGUUACUGUGUCACCAGGAGAAACUGUCACCAUGACAUGUACAUCUAGUACUGAUAUAUACAGCUACCUUCACUGGUACCAACAGAAACCUGGACAACCUCCCAAGCUUUUUAUCUCUGGUGCAAGCUACAGAGCAACUGGGAUCCCAGCCCGGUUCAGUGGCAGAGGGUCUGGAACCAGUUUCACUUUAACAAUCAGUGCAGUGUUAGCAGAAGAUGCAGCAGAUUAUUACUGUCAGCAGGGUUACAGCUACCCUCUCACAGUGAUACAGAGCCGUACAAAAACCUUCCUCUUUUAUCUCUACUAA
Molecule: non-coding RNA, 413 nt
Organism: Pelobates fuscus (common spadefoot toad)
Lineage: Eukaryota; Metazoa; Chordata; Amphibia; Anura; Pelobatidae
Source: the annotation of a RefSeq genome assembly